RNAcentral lists this long non-coding RNA (279 nucleotides) under Lathyrus oleraceus (garden pea). Its description in RNAcentral is "Pisum sativum (pea) long non-coding RNA (PSAT_LNC039095)". The record is from RNAcentral. Lineage: Eukaryota; Viridiplantae; Streptophyta; Magnoliopsida; Fabales; Fabaceae.
UUUCUUUCAUUUUCAUUUUAUUUUUUUCAUCACUUAUAUUUAUUCUACUUAAAAUAUUUUCGAAACAUACCUUGUUUAUGUUUUCCCCUUUUAUUUUAUUCCACACUUUAUUUGUUUUAUUUUGACUAUUUUGCUUGACUUUUUCAUGCCUUUGUUAAUGGUGGUUAAUGAAGUCUAUUUGAUCAUGACUUUGGUUUCUGUGGUUGACAAAACCUUAAAUGCUUAAAAUAUAUCAAUAGAUCAUUCACGAUACUUUGAGGCAUUGAUAGGUUGUCUCUA